RNAcentral lists this transfer RNA (89 nucleotides) under Burkholderia ubonensis. RNAcentral describes it as "tRNA-Leu". It matches the Rfam family "tRNA". Rfam says of the family: Transfer RNA (tRNA) molecules are approximately 80 nucleotides in length. Their secondary structure includes four short double-helical elements and three loops (D, anti-codon, and T loops). Lineage: Bacteria; Pseudomonadati; Pseudomonadota; Betaproteobacteria; Burkholderiales; Burkholderiaceae. The record is from RNAcentral.
GCCCGCGUGGCGAAAUUGGUAGACGCUCCUGGUUUAGGUCCAGGCGCUGCCACGGCAGCUUGGGGGUUCGAGUCCCCCCGCGGGCACCA